Molecule: ribosomal RNA, 490 nt
Filed under: Hylodes perplicatus (Humboldt's tree toad)
Lineage: Eukaryota; Metazoa; Chordata; Amphibia; Anura; Hylodidae
Description: partial 16S ribosomal RNA
Source: RNAcentral
UUUUUGAAGCAAUUCAAUUAUUUUUCAGCCUAUUUGAAACAGGAUACAACCUGGGACUAACGGGGAAAUAAUGCUAACCAUCUCCAAGUUGCCCUAAAAGCACGCAACUUUAAAACAGCGCCAUAGCUUCACUAUGCCAAUGCACAAUACCAACCUUAUAACAUAACCCUUUAUUACUAUUGAGCAAAUCUAUAUAUCUAUAGAAACUUUCAUGGUAAAACUACGCACAAGAGACAGAUUUUCUCUUUAUGUAAACGUACAUCAGAAUGGACACACCACUGAUAAUUAACGCCCAUGAAUANAAAGAAGUAACUUAACAAGAAAACCCCUCUAUAUCCAAUGUUAAUCUGACACAAGCACAUAUCAAGAAAGAUUUAAAGAAAAAGAAGGAACUCGGCAAACAUUAACCUCGCCUGUUUACCAAAAACAUCGCCUCUUGUGAAAUCUAAGAGGUCCAGACUGCNCAGUGGCUUGUCUCCACCGGGGUUUC